AGAACUGCUAAUUCUUACCCCUGAAGUUAAAUUCCUCAGACCCCUCACUUUUAAAGGAUAAAAGAUAAU
Molecule: transfer RNA, 69 nt
Filed under: Ctenosaura clarki
Lineage: Eukaryota; Metazoa; Chordata; Lepidosauria; Squamata; Iguanidae
Description: tRNA-Ser
Source: RNAcentral